Tachysurus vachellii is the source of this 112-nucleotide small nuclear RNA. The record is from RefSeq and is a predicted model, not a curated record. NCBI's taxonomy places the organism in Eukaryota, Metazoa, Chordata, Actinopteri, Siluriformes, Bagridae.
UUGGUGAAGGAAGUACAGCAGCAAAUAUAGUAAAAUUGCAACAAUACAUAGAAGAUUAGCAUGACCCAUGCAAAAGGAUUACAUGCAAAAUCAGGAAUAUAGUAAAAUAUCA